GAUACAGUGCCAGAGAGUUAUGGGUCAUCUUGAUGUGGUGAAAUACGGUAAGUUAGUUUAUCCUGUAUCU
Molecule: transfer RNA, 70 nt
Filed under: Nipponacmea sp. JM-2022
Lineage: Eukaryota; Metazoa; Mollusca; Gastropoda; Lottiidae
Description: tRNA-Ile
Source: RNAcentral